AAUCAACGCUGGCGGCGUGCCUAACACAUGCAAGUCGAACGCGAAAGGGGCUUCGGCCCUGAGUAGAGUGGCGUCCGGGUGAGUAACGCGUGGGUAAUCUACCUUCGGGUGUGGAAUAACUCAGGGAAACUUGAGCUAAUACCGCAUAAUGCAGCGGCUCGACAUCGAGACAGUUGUUAAAGCUCCUCGCAAGAGGGGCGCCUGAAGAGGAGCCUGCGUCUGAUUAGCUAGUUGGUGAGGUAACGGCCCACCAAGGCUACGAUCAGUAGC
This 270-nucleotide ribosomal RNA is filed under the name uncultured bacterium. RNAcentral's name for it is "partial 16S ribosomal RNA". It matches the Rfam family "Bacterial small subunit ribosomal RNA", at positions 32 to 287 of the family's 1533-position model. The record is from RNAcentral.